CCUACGGGAGGCAGCAGUGAGGAAUAUUGGUCAAUGGGCGCGAGCCUGAACCAGCCAAGUCGCGUGAGGGAAGACGGUCCUAUGGAUUGUAAACCUUUUUUGUCGGGGAGCAAAAGACGCCACGCGUGGCGGGAAGGAGAGUACCCGAAGAAAAAGCAUCGGCUAACUCCGUGCCAGCAGCCGCGGUAAUACGGGGGAUGCGAGCGUUAUCCGGAUUUAUUGGGUUUACGGGGUGCGUAGGCGGAAGGUUAAGUCAGCGGUCAAAUGUCGGUGCUCAACACCGGCCUGCCGUUGAAACUGGUCUUCUUGAGUGAGCGAGAAGUAUGCGGAAUGCCUGGUGUAGCGGUGAAAUGCAUAGAUAUCACGCAGAACUCCGAUUGCGAAGGCAGCAUACCGGCGCUCAACUGACGCUGAGGCACGAAAGCGUGGGGAUCGAACAGGAUUAGAUACCCUGGUAGUC
This 460-nucleotide ribosomal RNA is filed under the name uncultured bacterium. Its description in RNAcentral is "partial 16S ribosomal RNA". It matches the Rfam family "Bacterial small subunit ribosomal RNA", at positions 338 to 795 of the family's 1533-position model. The record is from RNAcentral.